AAAUCGUGGAGUAGACAACAGGGAUUGCCCUAGUAACGGCGAGUGAAGCGGCAACAGCUCAAAUUUGAAAUCUGGCUCCUUUGGGGUCCGAGUUGUAAUUUGUAGAGGGUGCUUUGGCGUUGGCCAUGGUCUAAGUUCCUUGGAACAGGACGUCACAGAGGGUGAGAAUCCCGUACGUGGCCGUUGGCCUUCGCCAUGUAAAGCCCCUUCGACGAGUCGAGUUGUUUGGGAAUGCAGCUCUAAAUGGGAGGUAAAUUUCUUCUAAAGCUAAAUAUUGGCCAGAGACCGAUAGCGCACAAGUAGAGUGAUCGAAAGAUGAAAAGCACUUUGGAAAGAGAGUCAAAAAGCACGUGAAAUUGUUGAAAGGGAAGCGCUUGCAGCCAGACUUGCCCGUAGUUGCUCAUCCAGGUUUCGGCCUGGUGCACUCUUCUGCGGGCAGGCCAGCAUCAGUCCAGGCGGUCGGAUAAAGGUCUUGGGAAUGUGGCUCUCUUCGGGGAGUGUUAUAGCCCAGGGCGUAAUGCGGCCAGCUUGGACUGAGGUCCGCGCAUCUGCUAGGAUGCUGGCGUAAUGGCUGUAAGCGGCCCUGGAAAAAAAACCGGGGAAAAAUUUGUCGCCCGUCACGGAAGGAGAGAGAGAAAAGAGAAGAGAGCGGGGAAGGAGAGCGAAGAGAGGCAGGGGGAGAGGGGGACCGAACCAGAGCACGCGCCAAACCGCGCGCCCACGACGAGGAGGCACGCGGCGCCCCACGAA
RNAcentral lists this ribosomal RNA (750 nucleotides) under Hongkongmyces pedis. RNAcentral describes it as "partial large subunit ribosomal RNA". The stretch from base 1 to 599 matches the Rfam family "Eukaryotic large subunit ribosomal RNA", at positions 48 to 664 of the family's 3401-position model. Lineage: Eukaryota; Fungi; Ascomycota; Dothideomycetes; Pleosporales; Lindgomycetaceae. The record is from RNAcentral.